CAAUAGCGUAUAUUAAAGUUGUUGCAGUUAAAAAGCUCGUAGUUGAAUUUUUGCUUGCCGCCGAUGUCGGAACUUCCGUACGUUCGGCGGCGUGCAUCCUUGGGUGGAACCUGUGGGGCAUUAGGUUGUCGUGCAGGGGAUGCUCAUCGUUUACUGUGAAAAAAUUAGAGUGUUCAAAGCAGGCUUACGCCGUUGAAUAUAUUAGCAUGGAAUAAUAAGAUAGGACCUUGGUACUAUUUUGUUGGUUUGCGCACCGAGGUAAUGAUUAACAGGGACAGUUGGGGGUAUUCGUAUUCCAUUGUCAGAGGUGAAAUUCUUGGAUUUCUGGAAGACGAACUACUGCGAAAGCAUUUACCAAGGAUGUUUUCAUUAA
RNAcentral lists this ribosomal RNA (373 nucleotides) under uncultured eukaryote. RNAcentral describes it as "partial 18S ribosomal RNA". It matches the Rfam family "Eukaryotic small subunit ribosomal RNA", at positions 592 to 976 of the family's 1831-position model. The record is from RNAcentral.